RNAcentral lists this long non-coding RNA (1168 nucleotides) under Homo sapiens (human). Its description in RNAcentral is "BTG3 antisense RNA 1". The record is from RNAcentral. Lineage: Eukaryota; Metazoa; Chordata; Mammalia; Primates; Hominidae.
GUCACCGCGGCGGCUGCUCCUCAAGUUCUACUUUGUUCCACAAGGCUCCUCUGCUCACGGCUGCGUGGAUAAAACCCAAAGGGAAUCCAGAAUCAAGCUCGGCCUCGCAGGAGUUUAUAACUUUUGUACUUUUCCCUCCCUUGUAACGAAAAGCUAAUCGCAAACGUUUCUAGGAACACAUUUUUCUCCUGAUAGACGUUCCCAAGGUGGAGGGCGCGAGAAGACUGGCCCGUGGGGUGAGGAGCCCCGGCCCGACCUCAGCGGCGCCACAAAGCCAUGAAGAGGGGAAAUAAUUUUCCAAGGGGCUAAGAGUUGGACUUUCUGAAGCCAUCGAAACCUGCUGCUAGGCUCUCCCGCUGGGGUUUUGAGAGAGGCACAGGGAGAGCUCUCCCUGAAGUUCUGACUGAGGGAAUUCCUUCCAAAAGAAACACAAUUGUCUUCAAUCUCCUGUCUGAAAUCUCACUAACCAGGGAAGAUUAAUCACCAAAGAAGAAAUUAAAGAUUAUCAGCUGGGCCCGGUGGCUCAUGCCUAUAAGCUCAGCACUUUGAGAGGCCAAGGCGGGAGGAUGGCUUGAGCCUAGGAGUCCGAGACCAGCCUGGGCAAUAUAGUGAGACUCCAUCUCUACAAAAAAUAAUAGCUGGGUGAGUUGGUGCACAUCUGUAGUCCCAGCUACUCAGGAGGCUGAGACAGGAGAGUCACUUGAGCUGGGCGGAGGCUGCAGUGAGCUGUGAUCGUGCCACUGCACUUCAGCCAGGGCAACAAAGCAAGACCCCUCAAAAAAAAUUAAAAGAAAAGAUUGUCCCCACAUAGUCCCAGACACACUUUUCAUCUAUUCUUCUGAGGAAUGGUGCCUGAGAGACUUUAUCUGCGUAAUUAGACAGCCUUUGUUCACAGUGCAAUUCUGCCACUAAACUUCUCAUAAAUUGUCACCAUCUCUCUCAGAGCCCAGACUAACUUUGUCCCAGGCUAUUGUCUGUUCUUUGAGCCAAUUCAUCUCCCCUAAAAAUUAUCUAUUCUUCCUCUAAAAUUACCUACAUCCCCUCCUUCCCUCUGCCUUAUGAAGAAGGUAUUUAACCUUCAAUAAUCUGGCCCUUCUUUGAGUUUUAUACUUUGUCUGACUCCCAUGUGCUUGUACAUUUAUAAAUUUGUAUGCCUGUUCUCCCAUUA